CUUGGUCAUUUAGAGGAAGUAAAAGUCGUAACAAGGUUUCCGUAGGUGAACCUGCGGAAGGAUCAUUAGUGAACGCCCUCACGGGCUUAUAACUAUUCCAAACCUCUGUGAACCGUGCCCUUCGGGGCUAUUUUACAAACAGGGUGUAAUGAACGUCAUAUAUCAUAACAAAACAAAACUUUCAACAACGGAUCUCUUGGCUCUCGCAUCGAUGAAGAACGCAGCGAAAUGCGAUAAGUAAUGUGAAUUGCAGAAUUCAGUGAAUCAUCGAAUCUUUGAACGCACCUUGCGCCCUCUGGUAUUCCGGAGGGCAUGCCUGUUUGAGUGUCAUGUAGACUCAAUCCCUCGGGUUUCCGAGGAGAUUGGACUUGGGUGUUGCCGCUCUGCCGGCUCGCCUUAAAAGACUUAGCGGGAUAGCACCGUAGUCGGCGUAAUAAGUUUCGUCGGUGAAGGUUGUGAUGACUGCUUACAAUCGCCCUCGGGCAAUUUUUGACUCUGACCUCAAAUCAGGUAGGACUACCCGCUGAACUUAAGCAUAUCAAUAAGCGGAGGA
RNAcentral lists this ribosomal RNA (553 nucleotides) under uncultured Cryptococcus. Its description in RNAcentral is "eukaryotic LSU rRNA". The stretch from base 177 to 330 matches the Rfam family "5.8S ribosomal RNA". The record is from RNAcentral. Lineage: Eukaryota; Fungi; Basidiomycota; Tremellomycetes.